This 505-nucleotide ribosomal RNA is filed under the name uncultured bacterium. Its description in RNAcentral is "partial 16S ribosomal RNA". It matches the Rfam family "Bacterial small subunit ribosomal RNA", at positions 28 to 507 of the family's 1533-position model. The record is from RNAcentral.
GACGAACGCUGGCGGCGUGCCUAAUACAUGCAAGUAGAACGCACGGUUUAUACCGUAGCUUGCUACACCAUAGACUGUGAGUUGCGAACGGGUGAGUAACGCGUAGGUAACCUGCCUGGUAGCGGGGGAUAACUAUUGGAAACGAUAGCUAAUACCGCAUAAUAUUAAUUAUUGCAUGAUAAUUAAUUGAAAGGUGCAAUUGCACCACUACCAGAUGGACCUGCGUUGUAUUAGCUAGUAGGUGAGGUAACGGCUCACCUAGGCGACGAUACAUAGCCGACCUGAGAGGGUGAUCGGCCACACUGGGACUGAGACACGGCCCAGACUCCUACGGGAGGCAGCAGUAGGGAAUCUUCGGCAAUGGACGAAAGUCUGACCGAGCAACGCCGCGUGAGUGAAGAAGGGUUUCGGAUCGUAAAGCUCUGUUGUAAGAGAAGAACGGGUGUGAGAGUGGAAAGUUCACACUGUGACGGUAUCUUACCAGAAAGGGACGGCUAACUACGUG